UACAGAGGUCUCAAGCGUUGUUCGGAUUCAUUGGGCGUAAAGGGUGCGUAGGCGGCGCGGUAAGUCGGGUGUGAAAUCUUGGAGCUUAACUCCGAAACUGCAUUCGAUACUGCCGUGCUUGAGGACUGGAGAGGAGACUGGAAUUUACGGUGUAGCGGUGAAAUGCGUAGAUAUCAAGAGGAACACCUGCGGCGAAGGCGGGUUGCUGGGCUGACACUGACGCUGAUGCGCGAAAGCCAGGGGAGCGAACGGG
RNAcentral lists this ribosomal RNA (253 nucleotides) under uncultured bacterium. RNAcentral's name for it is "partial 16S ribosomal RNA". It matches the Rfam family "Bacterial small subunit ribosomal RNA", at positions 524 to 776 of the family's 1533-position model. The record is from RNAcentral.